This 72-nucleotide transfer RNA is filed under the name Bradyrhizobium symbiodeficiens. Its description in RNAcentral is "tRNA-Gly". It matches the Rfam family "tRNA". Rfam says of the family: Transfer RNA (tRNA) molecules are approximately 80 nucleotides in length. Lineage: Bacteria; Pseudomonadati; Pseudomonadota; Alphaproteobacteria; Hyphomicrobiales; Nitrobacteraceae. The record is from RNAcentral.
GCGGGGGUAGCUUAAGUGGUAAAGCAUCUAUCUUCCGGAUAGAAGUUGAUAGUUCGAAUCUGUCCUCCCGCU